AUGCACCUAUCAGCGUGGGCACCGCCCACAUUUCCCACGGUAUCGUGUCUAUAUAACGCGGUGUAUACCGUCGCUCAUCCUCCCUUUUCUUUCAGCACUUGUGCUUAUCAGCGAGAAAUUGAGAACUACUUUAAGAAGAUGAGAACUUCAACACGGAUCUCCCAAGCCGGUGGCAGCGGCUCGGGCGAGGCCGCGGACAAACGGCCCUUUUCAGGGCCACCUGAGAGCGCUCCUAGAGCUAGGUCCUUUUCAGGACUCCUAUGCGCCUCUUGUCCCGCCUCCCUGGCACCGGGUGACGGGCACUUGGCGUGCUUUUGGUGCCUCGGCGCCGACCACGCCGCGGCUGCUAUGGCGGCCCCCGUCUCCUGUGUCGCCUGCCGGGAGCUGCCUGAAGAGGGGAUCCUCUCCAGGCAUCUCUUCUUUUCCCCUGCGGUGGAAAUGGCUGACGCCAUCGACCUAUUCGGACCUGACGUCGACGAUGGCAUCAUCGACGCCUCCCUGGACGACGUCUUCGGCGACUCGGCGUCCGGUUUUUCCCGCUCUCGGGUUACAACCGCCACCGUCAUACAACACGAGGGUCCGCGCCGGAUGACCGAUCUCUUCCGGGAGAUCAUGGGUGAGGCGGCGGCCAUCAAAGGGAUUCCCAUGCCGGCCCCGCCUCUCGCCCCCGUAUCUGACGAUAUGCAGGGCGAGUGCUUUCGCACCCCAUCUUUUUCAAGGCGGGUUACCCAGUGCCCCUUGUUCCCGCCUUUGCAGCACUUGUUUAUUGCUGCCGGUGAGGACCCUUCGACCCUGAAGGCUCCGGUAAGAUCCUACACGGAUUUCACCAACGUGGAGGGGUGGGCCGAUACUCAGGCGAGGGGGAUCCCUCGUCUGGAGCCUCCCCUGGCAGCGCUUCUCUGUCCGGGCGCCGGAUGGCUCCUUAACGAAAAGCCGCUGCCCCCCGACCGCCUCCAGAAGCAGAUUGUCGGCCUAACGGACAGGGUGUUCGUUUGUGCCUCUCAAUCCGCGGCGGCGGUCAACAACAUCGCCCUGCUCUCCUCUGCCAUGGUCUCCUUGUCGGCUGACACGGAGGCCUACGGCCCGGAGGAAGCCGCGAGAUGGCUGGCGGUUUCCCGCUUUUCCAGCGCCAUCCUCCAGUUAUGCCAGCCGAUAGCCGUUUCGGCCGGCCAGCAUAUGGCGUGGGCUACCAUGAUUCAAAGGGUCAUAUGGCUCUCCCACACUGCGGUGCCGGAACGAGAGCGGGCCAGCCUCGUCCAGGGUCCACUAGCGCCGGAUGGCCUAUUUGGUCCCAGGUUCUCCGAGGUGCUCGCGCACCAGCAGUCAGUCCGUGAGGAUCGUUCCCGGUUCGGGACGAUUCUCACGGGCUCCUCCCGCCAGCAGGCUGAGAGGAAGCGGGGUCUAGGCCGGUCCCAGCGUUCCAUGGGGCCGCCUCCGACUCCAGCCCCGGUGCAGCAGCCGCAGCCGCCGCGCACGGGGAGAGCAGCAGCGCCACGGACCGGGAAGUUCCGGACGCUUGCUCCUACUUUUUCUUUCCCUAUUAAAGAAAAGAGUAAAGACCGUUCGGCCGAACGGCAGUACAUGGUACCUAAAGAGCGAUAUUCCCCAGGCCACCUGCGCCCUACGCUUGUGGUGCGCUCCUCCAUGUUGCCUCUUUCCCCCUCUCAGCCCGGUGGCUGUAGGGUGGCGGUCGGACGGCGUGUUCACAUGGCCUCUGGUUCACCUGCUUCUAAGAAGCGGCGUCCCUUGGAGCCUCGUGGACGGAUCAGAGACUCGUUGCACGGUCUCCUGGUUCCCCACAUUAUAGGUGAGGAGAUGGGUCCGCGCGCUGUGGCUACAGCCUGCGGACAGCGCAUGCGCACAGGUGCUGCGGCCGGACGGCUCGCUCCCUGUUCAGCGGGCACGAGCGCGACGUCUAGACAGCUCGUUGUUUUUACAACUGCUAGUUGUGGUACGUCUCCUACGCUCGCUGAGCCUCCUCCCUUUCGUGGGAAGCCCCCCUUGGUCCACACGCAGUGUGAAGGCGGUAGGGGCAGAGGAAUACGGGUUAUUCCUGGACGGUCUUCCUCAGCUGUCGGCUCGCCCUCUCUCCAACCGCUAUGCGUGUUGGCAAGAGCGGUGCGUUCUGCCAUCGUGGUUGGACACCACGUUGAGAUGGGGCCAUCCCAUACAGUUCAAGCGUCGUCCCCCACCCUUUAUGGGGUUGGUGGAGACCACGCUACGGGACCCGGCUGCGAGCACGGCUCUGGCAGCAGAGGUGGCACGUCUCUUGGUAAAGGGGGCCAUCACUGUCGUUCCCCCCCACGAGUCUCACCUAGGUUUUUAUUCCCGCUACUUCCUGGUUUCCAAGAAGUCAGGGGAAAUGAGACCUAUUCUGGAUCUUCGCGUGUUCAACAGAUUCGUUGCCACGAGGAAGUUCAGAAUGCUCACGGUCGGAGCAUUGUUCCGGUGUGUGAGAGAGGACGAUUGGUUCACAUCCCUGGAUUUCAAGGAUGCUUACUUCCACGUCCCUGUUCGGCAGGCGCACAGGAAGUUUCUCCGCUUUGCCUUUAUGGGGAUGGCGUACGAGUACCAGUGUCUGCCGUUCGGCUAUUCCCUGGCGCCGCGCACCUUCUCGAAGUGUGUGGAGACGGCGUUGGAACCGCUCAGACGUCAGGGAAAGAGGAUUCUCUUCUACCUAGACGAUCUGCUUAUUCUGAGCAACUCAGAAGAGACCGCGAGAAGGGACACCAUGUUGGUGAUAAACCAUCUCUCCUUCCUGGGUUUUGCCAUCAACUGGGAGAAGAGCUCCCCGCUCCCCAGCCGGCAGACAGUCUACUUGGGGCUUGGCCUAGACUCAGCCACCAUGACUGCGAUGCUUUCGCCUCCUCGGCGAGACGCCAUCCUGUCGGCGCUCUCCCGUUUUCACGUUCGCAGAAACGUGACCGCACUGUCCACCAUGCGCCUGUUGGGGCUGAUGGCAGCUGCCCACCCCGUGGUCCCCCUGGGUCUGCUUUUUAUGCGCAGACUCCAGCGGUGGUUUGCUCGCCAACGGUUGGACCCCAGGCGACACAAGCUCAGGGUGCUCCUCGUCCCCCGUUCGGUGUCGCCAGACCUGGAAUAUUGGAAAGGACCCUCCGCCCUUCUCAAGGGUGUUCCACUGGGCAGGGUGGCGUCCUACGUAGUGGUCUUCACGGACGCCUCGUUGACGGGUUGGGGAGGAACGUGCCUCUCUCACUCGGUCGGAGACGAGUGGCGCACGCCCCCUACAGCACACAUAAAUGUGUUGGAGCUCGACGCUGUGAGGAAAGUGCUGUUGCAUUUCUUUCACCUGGUGCGCGGCCGCCACGUUCUGAUCAGGACAGACAGCGUGUCGGCGGCGGCGUACAUCAACAGACAGGGGGGAGUCCGCUCCCCUGCUCUCCACCGAAAGGCGGUCGAGCUCUGGCUUUGGGCUCAUCAGUAUCUCCGCAGUCUGAGAGCCCUGCAUAUCGCGGGCGCCCAGAACUUUGGGGCGGACCUCAUGUCUCGAGGCGGUCCCCGCCGAGACGAGUGGCGGUUACAUCCCGACAUUGUCAGACUGAUCUGGCAGAGGUUCGGGACAGCGCAGGUGGACCUCUUCGCGUCCCGGGAGAACACGCACUGCAGGUGGUGGUUCUCCCUCAGCCCUCGGGAUCUUCCCCCGUUGGGGGUAGAUGCGUUGGCACACACACCUUGGCCGCGGACUCUCUUGUAUGCGUUUCCCCCGCUCCAGCUGAUCCUUCCUCUUCUGGAACGGGUCAGACAGGAGAGACUGUCCCUGAUAUUAGUGGCCCCGGAGAACCGUGCAGCUCUGUGGUUUCCAGAGCUUGCCGCGCUCUCGCGGUCGGCGCCUUGGCCAGUACCAUUCAGGCCGGAUGCGCUUUCACAGGCCCACGGGACGGUGCACCACCCGCCCGAUGUCUCGGGACGGCUGUUGGUUUGGCUCCUGAGAGGUUGAUCCUGCAGGGCAAAGGUUUGCCUGAGACGGUUAUCAACACUAUUCAGAGUGCUCGUGCGCCUUCUACUUCUUCCCUCUAUGCGGCGAAGUGGUGCGCCUUCUCUAAUUGGUGUGAGACGAACCACGCUGUCCCAUCUCAAUGCGAGGUGGGAAGCGUGCUUUCGUUUCUGCAAAACUUAUUGGAAAAAGGUUUGGCCUUCUCCACUAUCAAGGUCUAUGCGGCAGCCGUUUCGGCUGGCCAUGCAGGCUGUGAUGGUGGACCGAUCUUCAGCCAUCCACUGGUCAAGAGAUUCUUGCGUGGGGCUAGACGGGUUAGGCCUGUUUCACGCGUGCUUACACCACGCUGGGAUCUCCCCACCGUGUUGCGCGGAUUGUCCAGGGAUCCUUUCGAGCCUCUCUCCCAGGCCCCUUUGGAUGCCCUGUCAUUCAAGACGGCGCUCUUGUUGGCCUUGGUUUCUGCCAAGCGGGCCGGUGAGCUAACCGCUCUGUCUGUCAGCCCGAGUUGCUUGUUGCUAAACGAGGACAGCUCCUUCGCGUUGCUCAGACCUAAUCCUGCGUUCCUCCCGAAGAACAUUAAUAGUUCUUUUCGGUCGAGGGAUAUUGUGCUUAAGGCUUUUCACCCCCCGCCUCAUUCUAGUGAGGCGGAGGCGGAGUUGCAUCUCCUGUGCCCGGUUCGGGCGUUGGCUAUGUACGUGAAUCGCUCGGCAGCGUUCCGCUCCACACAACAGUUGUUUGUGUGUUAUAGCGACGCUAGCAGGGGCCGCGCUCUCUCUAAGCAGCGGUUUUCUCGCUGGGUAUGUGAGGGUGUUUGCCUAGCCUACUCUCGGCAGGGCUUGGCGCCACCGUUGGGCGUUAAAGCUCACUCCACACGGAGCGUGGCCGCUUCAACGGCUCUACUCAAGGGCGUUUCGGUGGAAGACAUCUGCGCGGCUGCGUCUUGGUCUUCCCCCGGCCCCUUUGUCCGUUUUUACAUGUUAGACAUGUCCAGGGGCUCACUCGGCAACUCUGUGCUAGAGUCCGGGACCCCUUUUACGGCUUAA
Molecule: long non-coding RNA, 4998 nt
Organism: Gadus morhua (Atlantic cod)
Lineage: Eukaryota; Metazoa; Chordata; Actinopteri; Gadiformes; Gadidae
Source: Ensembl